Non-coding RNA from Crenichthys baileyi (White River springfish), 74 nucleotides. Lineage: Eukaryota; Metazoa; Chordata; Actinopteri; Cyprinodontiformes; Goodeidae. The record is from the annotation of a GenBank genome assembly.
CUCAAGGUUGUGCAGUUGGUAGCACUGUUGACUUGCAGGAAGAAGGUCCUGGGUUCAAAUCCUGGCCUGCGGGU